This 531-nucleotide unclassified non-coding RNA is filed under the name Sedum alexanderi. Its description in RNAcentral is "partial contains external transcribed spacer and 18S ribosomal RNA". Lineage: Eukaryota; Viridiplantae; Streptophyta; Magnoliopsida; Saxifragales; Crassulaceae. The record is from RNAcentral.
CAUGUUUUGUCGAUUUGAUCUCAUGUUGUCCUGCGUAUUAUAAAAGGUUAAAUCGACGGCAUUUUGGUUAGAUCGACGUGUUGGCGUGUGAGUGGCUAAUUGUAUGUUUGUGUUGGCUGGCUCCCUGCUUGAGCAGUGAACUGUCGGCGCAUACAUAUUUCAGUCGAGACGGAGUUGAGUCUUUUGGAUUUUUGUGCUGCCAACCCAAUCGAUGGAAUUCUUAUUGCCCUGAUGUGUAACUUCGCCGAACACUCCUUGAGGUGCUAGGCGGAAGUUGAAGCUACCCCUUUUUACGCCAUUCUCUCCCUUUUACGGGAACCAUGGGAAACUGGCGGUGUUGCUUGUUGCCUCGGAUGCAGAGCAUGAAGCGAGCAUGUUGCCUGUCAUCAUUGCUCAUUCAGAGCUCUCGAUUGCUCGGAAAGAGAGACCGUCGCGCUUGGUUUUGGCUGUUGAAUUGUCGAUCCAGCUCUUAACCUUGCCGACGUUUUCAAUGAAUGCUACCUGGUGAUCCUGCCAGUAGUCAUAUGCUUG